This 775-nucleotide long non-coding RNA is filed under the name Gouania willdenowi (blunt-snouted clingfish). RNAcentral's name for it is "lncRNA (ENSGWIG00000011666.1)". The record is from RNAcentral. Lineage: Eukaryota; Metazoa; Chordata; Actinopteri; Blenniiformes; Gobiesocidae.
GAGCAUCGGCGGAGCGUGAUCUGAGAGAAGCAUUUGGAAGAAUAAAAUGAGCAUUUGUCUUUUGACUGUAACAGGAGAAAAAUACAGCUAAGCUUGCCAUCACACAAGCUGACUGCAGCCUGAUCUGAUCUGAUCUGAUCUGAUCUGAGAGAGAGAAGCUUCAUCCUGCUCCUUCCAUCAGCAUCAGCACUGGGUCACAGGAACUCUGACACGCCGCAGAAAAAGCACACUUCACACUGGGAAACUGUCAGGAGAAGCGGUGAGACAUCAUGACAACACUGCUGGACCUAAAGAGCAGCGUGCUGAGGCAGGUGCAGAGGAGCCAGUCGCUGAGAAGCCGGAGGGAGCCGCCCCCCACAGCCAGCAGCCCCCUCCCACACUGUCCUGACCCUUUACCUCGCAGGGUUUCCGGGGAGAGCGGGGAGUUCUUUCAGCGCAUGAAUGCCAUCCUGCAGAAACAGGAGAAUAUGACGCGGGCAGCUCAGGCUGAGUGCCAAAGAGGAGCCUGCACAGUGCCACCCCCACAGGAGCAAAUGGACCAGGCUUUCAUUCCAGACCGCAUCAGCAGGACAGAGCUGGAUCUACUUUAUGAGGAAGCUGUGUACACAGUUGUCAACCGAGUCGGUGUUCCUUCAGCAGAGCAUGUGAAAAGUGAUGAUGAGCUCUUCGCCUACCUCCUGAAGGUAUCUGCCUGUCUGUGUGUGAGUCUGUCUGUUUGAUGAGCAUGGAUGCAUCUGAAGAACAGCAGAUUGCAAUGCUUAAGCUCUAAUAAAUA